This 420-nucleotide ribosomal RNA is filed under the name uncultured bacterium. RNAcentral describes it as "bacterial SSU rRNA". It matches the Rfam family "Bacterial small subunit ribosomal RNA", at positions 355 to 774 of the family's 1533-position model. The record is from RNAcentral.
UAAGGAAUAUUGGUUAAUGGACGCAAGUCUGAACCAGCCAUGCCGCGUGAAGGAUGAAGGUCCUCUGGAUUGUAAACUUCUUUUAUCUGGACGAAAACGGGAUUUUUAUCUCAAUUGACGGUACCAGAGGAAUAAGCACCGGCUAACUCCGUGCCAGCAGCCGCGGUAAUACGGAGGGUGCGAGCGUUAUCCGGAUUUACUGGGUUUAGAGGGUGCGUAGGUGGGCUUAUAAGUCAGUGGUGAAAUCUCCGAGCUUAACUUGGAAACUGCCGUUGAUACUAUAGGUCUUGAAUUAUCUGGAGGUAAGCGGAAUAUGUCAUGUAGCGGUGAAAUGCUUAGAUAUGACAUAGAACACCAAUUGCGAAGGCAGCUUACUACAUAUAAAUUGACGCUGAGGCACGAAAGCGUGGGGAUCAAACA